GCUCACUGGUCGAGUCGGCCUGCGCGGAAGAUGUAACGGGGCUAAACCAUGCACCGAAGCUGCGGCAGCGACGCUUAUGCGUUGUUGGGUAGGGGAGCGUUCUGUAAGCCUGUGAAGGUGUGCUGUGAGGCAUGCUGGAGGUAUCAGAAGUGCGAAUGCUGACAUAAGUAACGAUAAAGCGGGUGAAAAGCCCGCUCGCCGGAAGACCAAGGGUUCCUGUCCAACGUUAAUCGGGGCAGGGUGAGUCGACCCCUAAGGCGAGGCCGAAAGGCGUAGUCGAUGGGAAACAGGUUAAUAUUCCUGUACUUGGUGUUACUGCGAAGGGGGGACGGAGAAGGCUAUGUUGGCCGGGCGACGGUUGUCCCGGUUUAAGCGUGUAGGCUGGUUUUCCAGGCAAAUCCGGAAAAUCAAGGCUGAGGCGUGAUGACGAGGCACUACGGUGCUGAAGCAACAAAUGCCCUGCUUCCAGGAAAAGCCUCUAAGCAUCAGGUAACAUCAAAUCGUACCCCAAACCGACACAGGUGGUCAGGUAGAGAAUACCAAGGCGCUUGAGAGAACUCGGGUGAAGGAACUAGGCAAAAUGGUGCCGUAACUUCGGGAGAAGGCACGCUGAUAUGUAGGUGAAGUCCCUCGCGGAUGGAGCUGAAAUCAGUCGAAGAUACCAGCUGGCUGCAACUGUUUAUUAAAAACACAGCACUGUGCAAACACGAAAGUGGACGUAUACGGUGUGACGCCUGCCCGGUGCCGGAAGGUUAAUUGAUGGGGUCAGCGCAAGCGAAGCUCUUGAUCGAAGCCCCGGUAAACGGCGGCCGUAACUAUAACGGUCCUAAGGUAGCGAAAUUCCUUGUCGGGUAAGUUCCGACCUGCACGAAUGGCGUAAUGAUGGCCAGGCUGUCUCCACCCGAGACUCAGUGAAAUUGAACUCGCUGUGAAGAUGCAGUGUACCCGCGGCAAGACGGAAAGACCCCGUGAACCUUUACUAUAGCUUGACACUGAACAUUGAGCCUUGAUGUGUAGGAUAGGUGGGAGGCUUAGAAGUGUGGACGCCAGUCUGCAUGGAGCCGACCUUGAAAUACCACCCUUUAAUGUUUGAUGUUCUAACGUUGACCCGUAAUCCGGGUUGCGGACAGUGUCUGGUGGGUAGUUUGACUGGGGCGGUCUCCUCCUAAAGAGUAACGGAGGAGCACGAAGGUUGGCUAAUCCUGGUCGGACAUCAGGAGGUUAGUGCAAUGGCAUAAGCCAGCUUGACUGCGAGCGUGACGGCGCGAGCAGGUGCGAAAGCAGGUCAUAGUGAUCCGGUGGUUCUGAAUGGAAGGGCCAUCGCUCAACGGAUAAAAGGUACUCCGGGGAUAACAGGCUGAUACCGCCCAAGAGUUCAUAUCGACGGCGGUGUUUGGCACCUCGAUGUCGGCUCAUCACAUCCUGGGGCUGAAGUAGGUCCCAAGGGUAUGGCUGUUCGCCAUUUAAAGUGGUACGCGAGCUGGGUUUAGAACGUCGUGAGACAGUUCGGUCCCUAUCUGCCGUGGGCGCUGGAGAACUGAGGGGGGCUGCUCCUAGUACGAGAGGACCGGAGUGGACGCAUCACUGGUGUUCGGGUUGUCAUGCCAAUGGCACUGCCCGGUAGCUAAAUGCGGAAGAGAUAAGUGCUGAAAGCAUCUAAGCACGAAACUUGCC
This 1674-nucleotide ribosomal RNA is filed under the name Escherichia coli. RNAcentral's name for it is "partial 23S ribosomal RNA". It matches the Rfam family "Bacterial large subunit ribosomal RNA", at positions 1140 to 2798 of the family's 2925-position model. Lineage: Bacteria; Pseudomonadati; Pseudomonadota; Gammaproteobacteria; Enterobacterales; Enterobacteriaceae. The record is from RNAcentral.